UUAGGGAACAAAGCAUAGGCUUAAGCAGGGUAGCGGCGAGUGAAGCGGCAACAGCUCAAAUUUGAAAUCUGGCUCUUUCAGAGUCCGAGUUGUAAUUUGCAGAGGGCGCUUUGGCUUUGGCAGCGGUCCAAGUUCCUUGGAACAGGACGUCACAGAGGGUGAGAAUCCCGUACGUGGUCGCUAGCUAUUGCCGUGUAAAGCCCCUUCGACGAGUCGAGUUGUUUGGGAAUGCAGCUCUAAAUGGGAGGUAAAUUUCUUCUAAAGCUAAAUAUUGGCCAGAGACCGAUAGCGCACAAGUAGAGUGAUCGAAAGAUGAAAAGCACUUUGGAAAGAGAGUCAAACAGCACGUGAAAUUGUUGAAAGGGAAGCGCUUGCAGCCAGACUUGCUUGCAGUUGCUCAUCCGGGCUUUUGCCCGGUGCACUCUUCUGCAGGCAGGCCAGCAUCAGUUUGGGCGGUGGGAUAAAGGUCUCUGUCAUGUACCUCUCUUCGGGGAGGCCUUAUAGGGGAGGCGACAUACCACCAGCCUAGACUGAGGUCCGCGCAUCUGCUAGGAUGCUGGCGUAAUGGCUGUAAGCGGCCCGUCUUGAAACACGGACCAAGGAGUCUAACAUCUAUGCGAGUGUUUGGGUGUCAAGCCCGAGCGCGUAAUGAAAGUGAACGGAGGUGGGAACCCGCAAGGGUGCACCAUCGACCGAUCCUGAAGUUUACGGAAGGAUUUGAGUAAGAGCAUGGCUGUUGGGACCCGAAAGAUGGUGAACUAUGCUUGAAUAGGGUGAAGCCAGAGGAAACUCUGGUGGAGGCUCGCAGCGGUUCUGACGUGGCAAAUCGAUCGUCAAAUUUGGGGCAUAGGGGCGAAAGAACUAAUCGAACUAUCUAGUAGCUGGUUCCUGGCCGAAGUUUCCCUCAGGGAUAGCAGUAACGUAUUCAGGUGUUAUGAGGUAGAAGCGAAUGAUUAGAGGCAUGGGGGUUGAAACAACCU
RNAcentral lists this ribosomal RNA (980 nucleotides) under Exserohilum rostratum. Its description in RNAcentral is "partial large subunit ribosomal RNA". It matches the Rfam family "Eukaryotic large subunit ribosomal RNA", at positions 52 to 1047 of the family's 3401-position model. Lineage: Eukaryota; Fungi; Ascomycota; Dothideomycetes; Pleosporales; Pleosporaceae. The record is from RNAcentral.